Molecule: ribosomal RNA, 113 nt
Filed under: Zingiber officinale
Lineage: Eukaryota; Viridiplantae; Streptophyta; Magnoliopsida; Zingiberales; Zingiberaceae
Source: RNAcentral
GCAAUCAUACCAGCAUUAAUGUACCGUAUUCCAUUAAAUUUCAAAAAUUAAGCUUACUUAGGCGAGAAUAGUACUAGGAUGGGUGACCCUGGGAAGUUCUCGUGUAACACAUC